This 776-nucleotide long non-coding RNA is filed under the name Triticum aestivum (bread wheat). RNAcentral describes it as "long non-coding RNA (TAES_LNC008282)". The record is from RNAcentral. Lineage: Eukaryota; Viridiplantae; Streptophyta; Magnoliopsida; Poales; Poaceae.
ACAUGGUUCUAGAUACUGGACGAAAAAGCAGUGGCUAGAAAGAUGACGAUAUAUAGAUGCAUUACUUAUCAUAUACUACUACCUAGAAAAAUACAAUAUCUAAUUUCCUCUUGAUCCUUCUUGAACAACCUGCACAACACUACAAGUUCAGUUUCACAAAAGCGUAAGUCUAAAGCUUUGGUACAACAACAACUUAUGGUUUAUUUUGAGAAAAGGUCAGAUUCAGUACACGGAACAUCACAUAUCUCAACAACUUCCACCAGUUUUGUGUGCUUUCAAAGUAACUUUGAUUGGUAUCCAGCUAUACAACACACAACCGCACACAGAAAUCGUGCCACCUCAAUUAUAAAUAAAGGUGUGGCCUCAUCUCAUCUAUUCAUCUCCACCUGCACCAAAACACACUGACAACAUGAAGGCCCUCUUCCUCAUAGGACUGCUUGCUCUGGUAGCGAGCACCGCCUUUGCGCAAUAUAGCGAAGUUGUUGGCAGUUACGAUGUUGCUGGCGGGGGUGGUGCUCAACAAUGCCCUGUAGAGACAAAGCUAAAUUCAUGCAGGAAUUACCUGCUAGAUCGAUGCUCAACGAUGAAGGAUUUCCCGGUCACCUGGCGUUGGUGGAAAUGGUGGAAGGGAGGUUGUCAAGAGCUCCUUGGGGAGUGUUGCAGUCGGCUCGGCCAAAUGCCACCGCAAUGCCGCUGCAACAUCAUCCAGGGGUCAAUCCAAGGCGAUCUCGGUGGCAUCUUCGGAUUUCAGCGUGAUCGGGCAAGCAAAGUGAUAC